GCCGCGGCCAGACUGAAGGCAGGUCGCCUUUCCGGCACCGAGCUGACGCCAAGACCGGCCACCAAACUCAUAUAAGAGGAAGCGCCCGGAGGCACCUAGGCACGCGCCGGGGACGGGGACGGGGACGGCACCGAGAGCGCCUGCUGCCCAGGAGGUCUCCGGUUUGGGUGAGAAGCGACUGAAACGAAAUGAGUAAAAGCUACACUUCAAAGCACCCAGGACGGGUGGUCUCUGACGCAGAGGAGCUGAAGGUGUUCUGGGAGAAGAAAAUCCAGCAUCACACGCGGCAGCUGCAGAGAGAGGGCGAGCGGAUCCGCAGGAGCGCCCUGGACAGGCUCCGUGGAGAAUGGGCUCAGCAGCUGGAGUUGAGGCACAGGGCGCUGCAGGCUCCCCUGGAGGCCGCCCCGCGGGCCUCCGGAGACAAGACGGCAGCCUGAGUCCUGCGUGGAGCGGAGGCGCACAGCCAGCCACGUGAGUUCCCCCGAGAAGGGACACCCCGUGAGGGGCCGUGUGUGGGCACCGCCCGCAGAGCCACUGCGCCCACCACCAAGCUUCACGGGCGCUCUCUCCCGGCUCCGCUCGGCUGCCAUUGGUUUUGCUUUUGAAGCACAUAGUAGGUGCC
Long non-coding RNA from Myotis lucifugus (little brown bat), 622 nucleotides. RefSeq lists it as uncharacterized. Lineage: Eukaryota; Metazoa; Chordata; Mammalia; Chiroptera; Vespertilionidae. The transcript is spliced from 3 exons. The record is from RefSeq and is a predicted model, not a curated record.